AUCUUUGGGAUAUGUUAUAAGGAAAGUAGGAGCAGGAGAUCCUGCAAGGCAAAGAGCAAGCUUCCAGAAUUCUAGGAGAGUGACAGAACUUGGCUUUUGACUGGUGACAGUUGAAGCUAAGGGGGGCAGUGAGUCUAGUUCCUUGGGUGGACCUCGCUGGAAUUUCACCAUAAUGCCAGAAUUAAUGAGCCCAAUUUUAGAAAAAUGGAUACAACCCCUCAGUGGUGGUCACCUACUGCCAAGUGGCCAAGGAAAGAAGAAUGUUUCAUUCUAGACCGUCAGAGAGAUUGUGAGUGGAGUCGGAGGGCAACAGAUUGCCAGAUCUUCCAUAGUACCAAAGUUGAAGAACCUGAAGCAGAGAGAGGUUAAGUGACUUGCCCAGGGUCACACACCUGCUAAAUGUCUGAGGUUGAAUCUGAACUCAAGUAUAACUGAUUCUAGGCCCAGAGCUCUAUCCACUAUACAACACAGCUGCCAACUGAACAAAUAUUUAUUAAAACAAACAUUAUGGCCCCAGUUGAUCAUCAC
This 528-nucleotide long non-coding RNA is filed under the name Monodelphis domestica (gray short-tailed opossum). RNAcentral describes it as "lncRNA (ENSMODG00000043162.1)". Lineage: Eukaryota; Metazoa; Chordata; Mammalia; Didelphimorphia; Didelphidae. The record is from RNAcentral.